Molecule: non-coding RNA, 59 nt
Filed under: unclassified sequences
Description: RAGATH-30 RNA
Rfam family: RAGATH-30 RNA
About the family: Environmental. Nearby to self-cleaving ribozyme genes
Source: Rfam by way of RNAcentral
GUAAAAAUAAGAAUUUUAUCGAUACUGCUCGCAAAAGCGAGAGCUGCUAGGUGCAGCAG